UUUCAAACUAGUCGGCAGAGACGGUUGUUUUUUGGAUGAUUGGUGUUAUUUGGCGUUUGAAAG
This 63-nucleotide transfer RNA is filed under the name Bathymodiolus aduloides. Its description in RNAcentral is "tRNA-Lys". The record is from RNAcentral. Lineage: Eukaryota; Metazoa; Mollusca; Bivalvia; Mytilida; Modiolidae.